RNAcentral lists this ribosomal RNA (119 nucleotides) under Pteropus alecto (black flying fox). Lineage: Eukaryota; Metazoa; Chordata; Mammalia; Chiroptera; Pteropodidae. The record is from RNAcentral.
GUCCAUGGCCAUGCUACCCAGAACAAGCCCGAUCCUGUCUGAUCUCGGAAGCUAAGCAGGGUCGGGCCUGGUUAGUACUUGGAUGGGAGACCACCUAGGAAGACCAGAUACUGUAGGCU